ACAGCGGCUCGCUUCAAGAGCAGGUGAAGCAAUUUGGGACAAUGCUGAAGACGUUUGCUCGCACUGGGCAAUCAGGGGCCCUCCGGAAGAACCCGGCAACCCAGGAUGACACUGAUGAGGCGGUCCAGGUUAACGUUACACGUUACCUGAAAGGAGCAUCAGACCGUGAAGGAGGAAAAAGCUGCACAGCUGAGAAGGACCCACAGCCGACCCCUUAAACCUAGGCUGACUACUGACACCCCAGCAUCACUGAACUGGAACACUUUCUUUAUCCUGC
Molecule: long non-coding RNA, 277 nt
Organism: Esox lucius (northern pike)
Lineage: Eukaryota; Metazoa; Chordata; Actinopteri; Esociformes; Esocidae
Source: Ensembl